UACGUAGGGGGCAAGCGUUGUCCGGAUUCAUUGGGCGUAAAGAGCGUGUAGGCGGCCAGGUAGGUCGGUUGUGAAAACUGGAGGCUCAACCUUCAGAGGUCGACCGAAACCAUCUGGCUAGAGUCCGGGAGAGGAGAGUGGAAUUCCUGGUGUAGCGGUGAAAUGCGUAGAGAUCGGGAGGAACACCCGUGGCGAAGGCGGCCAACUGGGCAGGACCUGACGCUGAGGCGCGAAGGCGUGGGGAGCGAACGGG
RNAcentral lists this ribosomal RNA (253 nucleotides) under uncultured bacterium. Its description in RNAcentral is "partial 16S ribosomal RNA". It matches the Rfam family "Bacterial small subunit ribosomal RNA", at positions 524 to 776 of the family's 1533-position model. The record is from RNAcentral.